AUCGUAUUCAACUGUAGUUAACUAACUACGAUUACUUUCCGCUCGUCUUCUCUCAUUUCAGCUUUUCUGUUUCGCUUCUCAAAUCUUUUCAAUCUUUAUGGGGGAAAAACAAGAAAUUAGGGAAAUUAUGUGCCCUAGAUGAGAUAUUGAUUUAAAAAUUUCCUGAAUCAUCUCGUUUUUGGCUUGCUUUUUUUUUCGACCUUGACUGAGUAUGAUUUUUUUCGUAUUAUCCUCCACCGAUGUGAACUUUCUUUGAUUUCUUUUUGUGUGAAUGGAGACACAGAGAGUGGUGGAAUUUCCUCAUAGGAGCAUGGAUCAAAGGCCUCGGAAACGACCUCGUUUGACAUGCGAUCUGAUGCCGACUGUCCCUCCUGCUCCUCCAAAGAUUCUUCCAACUGUAUACUGUGCCCAAGAGUUUGGGGCUGUCCCUAGUUACGCAUGUUCGUCAAUAUAUUAUAAAGGGAUUCCGCGUAAUGGUUCUCCACCUUGGAGACUUGAUGAUAAAGAUGGGCACUAUGUGUUUGCUAUUGGAGAGAACUUAACUCCUCGUUACAGGAUACUAAGUAAAAUGGGUGAAGGGACUUUUGGGCAAGUUUUAGAAUGUCUGGACAAUGAAAGGAAAGAGAUAGUUGCUAUCAAAGUUGUUCGUUCCAUACAAAAGUACCGGGAAGCAGCAAUGAUUGAAAUUGAUGUCUUACAGAAACUAGGAAGGCAUGAUAUCUGCGGUACACGUUGUGUGCAAAUACGGAAUUGGUUUGACUAUCGUAAUCAUAUUUGUAUUGUGUUUGAGAAGCUUGGUCCAAGCUUGUAUGAUUUUCUACGCAAAAAUAGCUAUCGUUCAUUUCCCAUUGAUCUUGUUCGGGAGUUUGGCAGACAACUUUUGGAAUCUGUCGCAUUUAUGCAUGAUCUUCGCCUGAUUCACACCGAUUUAAAACCAGAAAAUAUUCUUCUGGUGUCCUCAGAAUAUAUUAAAGUUCCAGACUAUAAGUUUCUAUCAAGAUCUGCAAAAGAUGGUCCCUACUUCAAAAAUCUACCUAAAUCAAGCGCUAUAAAGCUUAUUGAUUUUGGAAGUACUACUUUUGAGCAUCAAGAUCACACCUAUGUAGUGUCUACACGCCAUUAUCGUGCACCAGAGGUUAUUCUCGGUCUUGGAUGGAACUACCCCUGCGAUAUGUGGAGUAUAGGUUGCAUACUUGUUGAACUGUGCUCUGGUGAAGCUCUUUUCCAGACUCAUGAGAACUUGGAACAUCUUGCAAUGAUGGAAAGGGUGCUUGGACCACUACCUCCAAAUAUGAUCAUGCGAGCCGAUCGUCGGACUGAGAAAUAUUUCAGAAGGGGUACAAGACUGGAUUGGCCAGAGGGCGCCACCUCCAGAGAAAGUAUGAGGGCAGUCUGGAAAUUGCCCCGACUUCCGAACCUUAUCAUGCAGCAUGUGGAUCGCUCGGCUGGAGAUUUGAUUGAUCUUCUUCAAGGACUUCUACGUUAUGAACCUUCAGAACGGCUGAAGGCAAGAGAAGCUUUAGGGCACCCGUUUUUUACGAGGGACCUCAGGCGAUUUGGAUAUCUGUAAACGAAGAUGUGAUGAAAGAUACGAUGAAGCCAUCGGGUGAAUAAAAUUUCACAUGCAUGUGUGAAUUGCAAAAUUAAAAUGAAUAGAUAGAGAGAAAGGGAAGGGGGUGGAGAAUACAAGUUCAACAUCGGCGCCUGUCAACUGCAAAUGCACUGACGUCGUUCAAACCCCCCGAUCAUGUUGUAAAAUAUGCAGGUUUUGCAGUAUUUCUCUUUGCCUUGUAUGCCUUUUUUGGAACCAGAUAUUGAACCACUUAUUAUCCAGUCGUCGCCAGGUAACGUUUGCCAUGUGUAUAUGCUUAUUCUUAUUGCAAAGAGACAGUUUCAUUCAGCGAUGAUGCUUUUAGUUAUUUUAUGUUAGUGAAGUGGAUUAUCUCCAAAUAAUUUACUACUAGAACAUGGCCCGUUGAUUUAUUACUGAAAGUCAUUCAAUUGGACCAUGAGGAUCGGAAAUAACAAACAAAAUGUAAAGUUUGUGAUA
Molecule: non-coding RNA, 2050 nt
Organism: Salvia hispanica
Lineage: Eukaryota; Viridiplantae; Streptophyta; Magnoliopsida; Lamiales; Lamiaceae
Source: RefSeq, a predicted model, not a curated record